Molecule: ribosomal RNA, 297 nt
Filed under: uncultured bacterium
Lineage: Bacteria
Description: partial 16S ribosomal RNA
Rfam family: Bacterial small subunit ribosomal RNA
Source: RNAcentral
UUACGCCUACGGGACGCAGCAGUGGGGAAUAUUGCACAAUGGGGGAAACCCUGAUGCAGCGACGCCGCGUGAGUGAAGAAGUAUUUCGGUAUGUAAAGCUCUGUCAGCAGGGAAGAAAGAAAUGACGGUACCUGACCAAGAAGCCCCGGCUAACUACGUGCCAGCAGCCGCGGUAAUACGUAGGGGGCAAGCGUUAUCCGGAAUUACUGGGUGUAAAGGGAGCGUAGACGGUUAAGUAAGUCUGGAGUGAAAGGCCGGGGCCCAACCCCGGGACUGCUCUGGAAACUAUUCAACUUG